This 405-nucleotide ribosomal RNA is filed under the name uncultured bacterium. RNAcentral's name for it is "partial 16S ribosomal RNA". It matches the Rfam family "Bacterial small subunit ribosomal RNA", at positions 28 to 526 of the family's 1533-position model. The record is from RNAcentral.
GAUGAACGCUGGCGGCGUGCCUAAUACAUGCAAGUCGAGCGAAGCGGGGACGGGUGAGUAACACGUGGAUAACCUCCUAUAAGACUGGGAUAACUUUGGGAAACCGGAGCUAAACCGGAUACUUAAAAUUGGUCCUGCGUUGCAUUAGCUAGUUGGUAGGGUAACGGCUUACCAAGGCAACGAUGCAUAGCCGACCUGAGAGGGUGAUCGGCCACACUGGGACUGAGACACGGUCCAGACUCCUACGGGAGGCAGCAGUGGGGAAUCUUCAGCAAUGGGCGAAAGCCUGACGGAGCAACGCCGCGUGAGUGAGGAAGGUCUUCGGAUCGUAAAACUCUGUUAGCAGGGAGGCGGUACCCACACAGAAAGCAACGGCUAACUCCGUGCCAGCAGCCGCGGUAAUUC